Molecule: transfer RNA, 74 nt
Filed under: Caudoviricetes sp.
Lineage: Duplodnaviria; Heunggongvirae; Uroviricota; Caudoviricetes
Description: tRNA-Gly
Rfam family: tRNA
About the family: Transfer RNA (tRNA) molecules are approximately 80 nucleotides in length. Their secondary structure includes four short double-helical elements and three loops (D, anti-codon, and T loops).
Source: RNAcentral
GUGUCUAUAGUUUAAUGGUAGAACAUCAAUUUUCCAAAUUGAUGGCACGAGUCCGAUUCUCGUUAGACACUCCA